AACAAUUCUCCACAAAAUACCUGUAGCUAGCUAAAACACGAGAUUUAACCAUGUCAAAUGAUUGUUUUAGCAACCCAUGUCUACCAGUGAGGACAAGUUUGCUGUAAGUAAGCUAAUGUUAGUUAUGAGUUAGCAAACUAAGGCAAUUGCAAACAUAAUACUAUAGCUUUCUGAUUUGUCCACAUUCCACUAUAACACAAGUUUCUGUGUACAAAAUGCAGCUUUAGCUUAACUUAUAGACUUGUUAGCUGUUUACUGUUGAAGACAUCAUGACACCCAUGCUCCAACCUCAACCUUCAGCUGUAUUGCCAUCAUGAACCAGGCAGCCUUUUUGACUCAGACUGAAGGACAGCUAUCAAAUCAACACAGCAUACCACUCUGUCUGGGCUUACUUCCUCCACCCACUGUAGGCCUAUGAUGACUGCCAUCAUUUCUGCUGCAUUUAAACAGCUGAUCAGAUCUGACUGACUCUUUGGGCCCAUGAAGAGGCUGGGUGGCCCCUCAUUAAGCACAUUCUGGAUUACAGCUCCUGGCCAAGGCUAUUUCCAACAACAUGCUAGUGCAUUGUAAUGAGCCUCUUUGUGUGCUGCACAAACACACUCAAUCUCCCACUUUAAUCACCGAGGAGGAGAUAGGCUACUCCUCCAGCCCUCCAGCCCUCAACAGGAGCAGUGAGAGGAAAGUGGGAUUUGCAAGUUCCUCCAUCCUCUGAUGACAUAUAAUCUUCUUGGGAGAUGAGUGUUCUGUCACAAAGCUCUGAUUGACAUGUUUAGCAUGAUGGAGGGAGUUAGGAGCAAAAGCUAGGAGAAAUGCUGAAAUGAUUCACAGGGUGGACAGUGAUCCUUCGGCUGUCUGGUCAUUCUGUCGGCCGUGUAGCUGCAGAUCAUCUGUACGUCAAACAGCUUAGGGGGAGAUUCAGGACAUUGUGGGCAGUUCAUAUGGUGUGUUAGUCUUCUGCAUGUACAGCUUGAUUAUAUUUAUGACAUUACAUUCAGAGCAUACUGUAGAAUUUCUCUCCUCAAAAAAACGACAUUAAUGAUUUUUAGUAUUAGUUAACUUAAAAAAAACAUACAUUGUAAAAAUGUUAAAACAAACUUCACAAUCACGCUUGUGAAAUCCACAAGUGUACUGUAGACUAAUUUAUAAAACAGCCUGCAGGCACAGUAUCUGCAGGCUGCCUUGAGAUGAGCAUCGAGUGCUUUGUGGUAACAAAUCGCUGAACAACAGCACUCUUCAGUACCAACCACAAUGAGACAAAUGUUCAGUAUGGUCAGGUGACAACACUAAGCACCACCAGCAUACAGCCGAGUUAGUAGAUAUGGUUUAAGUAAAUGAGUGGUAUCGUCAGCGUUUCACACAGGCAUUUCUAUAAAGAAUGCAAUUGUUAUUUGUUAUUGAACCAUUAUGGAACCAACUACCUGACUAAUCUUAAAGAGCAAGACAACUAUUUUACAAAUGGAGAAAAUGCAUAUUUUCAAUUUCAGCAUUUAAACAUUUUAAAAGGUGAAAUAUUGCAGAUUGCGGAAAAAAAUAGACAAAGCAUUCAUGUCAUUCUGCAAUUUAUUGUUACUCACCUCCACUCCAUCAGAAACCUCUAUAAGACUAACAAAGGCAGCUGUGAUCACUAAGUGUCUAAAGGUCCAGACACACCGAGCCGAUAAUCGGCAGUUGGACAGUCUGGCGAGGUCAGUGACUCGAGUCUGUUCGAUGUGUGUUCCAUGCCAUCAUCCGUCGGAGGGGCCAUCGGCCUUCAUCUUGGCUGAUUUGACAUGUAUAAUCGGAGGGGCGGGCACUGCCAGCAGUUGGACUCAAAUAACCCAUCUGAUUGGUAGAGUGCUAACUCGGAAACGGAGAGCGGAAUGAGCGUGACUAGAGUCUCU
Molecule: long non-coding RNA, 1880 nt
Organism: Perca flavescens (yellow perch)
Lineage: Eukaryota; Metazoa; Chordata; Actinopteri; Perciformes; Percidae
Exons: 3
Source: RefSeq, a predicted model, not a curated record